GCCCUGAUAGUAUAAACAUUACCUUGGUCUUGUAAACCAAAAAUGAGGGUCUAACCUCUCAGGACA
RNAcentral lists this transfer RNA (66 nucleotides) under Lamottemys okuensis (Mount Oku rat). Its description in RNAcentral is "tRNA-Thr". It matches the Rfam family "tRNA". Rfam says of the family: Transfer RNA (tRNA) molecules are approximately 80 nucleotides in length. Their secondary structure includes four short double-helical elements and three loops (D, anti-codon, and T loops). Further hydrogen bonds mediate the characteristic L-shaped molecular structure. tRNAs have two regions of fundamental functional importance: the anti-codon, which is responsible for specific mRNA codon recognition, and the 3' end, to which the tRNAs corresponding amino acid is attached (by aminoacyl-tRNA synthetases). tRNAs cope with the degeneracy of the genetic code in two manners: having more than one tRNA (with a specific anti-codon) for a particular amino acid; and 'wobble' base-pairing, i.e. permitting non-standard base-pairing at the 3rd anti-codon position. The record is from RNAcentral. Lineage: Eukaryota; Metazoa; Chordata; Mammalia; Rodentia; Muridae.